UGUCUCCUCCACCUCUCCUUUGGUGGAUUUAGCCCCUGGAUCGCAAGGUCUGGGGGCUUUUUU
Molecule: non-coding RNA, 63 nt
Organism: Ramlibacter tataouinensis TTB310
Lineage: Bacteria; Pseudomonadati; Pseudomonadota; Betaproteobacteria; Burkholderiales; Comamonadaceae
Source: Rfam